RNAcentral lists this transfer RNA (64 nucleotides) under Cavia porcellus (domestic guinea pig). It matches the Rfam family "tRNA". Rfam says of the family: Transfer RNA (tRNA) molecules are approximately 80 nucleotides in length. Their secondary structure includes four short double-helical elements and three loops (D, anti-codon, and T loops). Further hydrogen bonds mediate the characteristic L-shaped molecular structure. tRNAs have two regions of fundamental functional importance: the anti-codon, which is responsible for specific mRNA codon recognition, and the 3' end, to which the tRNAs corresponding amino acid is attached (by aminoacyl-tRNA synthetases). tRNAs cope with the degeneracy of the genetic code in two manners: having more than one tRNA (with a specific anti-codon) for a particular amino acid; and 'wobble' base-pairing, i.e. permitting non-standard base-pairing at the 3rd anti-codon position. The record is from Rfam by way of RNAcentral. Lineage: Eukaryota; Metazoa; Chordata; Mammalia; Rodentia; Caviidae.
GGGGAUUUAGCUCAGUGGUACAAGCACAUGCCUGGCAAGUAUGAGGUCAUAAGUUCAAUCCCCA